GCUGGUAUAGCUCAGUAGGUAGAGUGCGUCCUUGGUAAGGACGAGGUCAUCGGUCCGAAUCCGAUUACCAGCUCCA
RNAcentral lists this transfer RNA (76 nucleotides) under Clostridiales bacterium. RNAcentral describes it as "tRNA-Thr". It matches the Rfam family "tRNA". Rfam says of the family: Transfer RNA (tRNA) molecules are approximately 80 nucleotides in length. Their secondary structure includes four short double-helical elements and three loops (D, anti-codon, and T loops). Further hydrogen bonds mediate the characteristic L-shaped molecular structure. tRNAs have two regions of fundamental functional importance: the anti-codon, which is responsible for specific mRNA codon recognition, and the 3' end, to which the tRNAs corresponding amino acid is attached (by aminoacyl-tRNA synthetases). tRNAs cope with the degeneracy of the genetic code in two manners: having more than one tRNA (with a specific anti-codon) for a particular amino acid; and 'wobble' base-pairing, i.e. permitting non-standard base-pairing at the 3rd anti-codon position. The record is from RNAcentral. Lineage: Bacteria; Bacillati; Bacillota; Clostridia; Eubacteriales.